UACGAAGGGGGCUAGCGUUGUUCGGAAUUACUGGGCGUAAAGCGCACGUAGGCGGAUACUUAAGUUAGGGGUGAAAUCCCAGGGCUCAACCCUGGAACUGCCUUUAAUACUGGGUAUCUUGAGUUCGAGAGAGGUGAGUGGAAUUCCGAGUGAUUAGAGGUGAAAUUCGUAGAUAUUCGGAGGAACACCAGUGGCGAAGGCGGCUCACUGGCGUCGAUACUGACGCUGAGGUGCGAAAGCGUGGGGAGCAAACAGG
Molecule: ribosomal RNA, 256 nt
Filed under: uncultured bacterium
Lineage: Bacteria
Description: partial 16S ribosomal RNA
Rfam family: Bacterial small subunit ribosomal RNA
Source: RNAcentral